This 64-nucleotide microRNA precursor is filed under the name Tribolium castaneum (red flour beetle). Its description in RNAcentral is "Tca-Mir-3811-P1_pre stem-loop". Lineage: Eukaryota; Metazoa; Arthropoda; Insecta; Coleoptera; Tenebrionidae. The record is from RNAcentral.
UUCUUGCUCAGAGUUUACAUAUUUUGGUUUAAAUAUGAAAUAUGUACAACCGUGAGUGGAGACC